Homo sapiens (human) is the source of this 93-nucleotide unclassified non-coding RNA. It matches the Rfam family "Y RNA". Rfam says of the family: Y RNAs are components of the Ro ribonucleoprotein particle (Ro RNP), in association with Ro60 and La proteins. The Y RNAs and Ro60 and La proteins are well conserved, but the function of the Ro RNP is not known. In humans the RNA component can be one of four small RNAs -- hY1, hY3, hY4 and hY5. Lineage: Eukaryota; Metazoa; Chordata; Mammalia; Primates; Hominidae. The record is from Ensembl.
GACUCAUAUUCUAUAGCAGUGGUUCCUGAAGUUUAACAUACAUCAUUUCUUUGUUCCUUCUCCACUCCCACUGCUUCACUUAACUAGUCUACA